RNAcentral lists this ribosomal RNA (332 nucleotides) under uncultured Leptospirillum sp. Its description in RNAcentral is "bacterial SSU rRNA". It matches the Rfam family "Bacterial small subunit ribosomal RNA", at positions 505 to 836 of the family's 1533-position model. The record is from RNAcentral. Lineage: Bacteria; Pseudomonadati; Nitrospirota; Nitrospiria; Nitrospirales; Nitrospiraceae.
GUGCCAGCCGCUGCGGUAAUACGUAGGGAGCAAGCGUUGUCCGGAAUCAUUGGGCGUAAAGAGCUCGUAGGCGGCUUGGUAAGUCGGAUGUGAAAGCUCCAGGCUCAACCUGGAGUCGCCAUCCGAUACUGCCAUGGCUAGAGUCUGGUAGGGGUCCACGGAAUUCCUGGUGUAGCGGUGAAAUGCGCAGAUAUCAGGAGGAACACCGGUGGCGAAGGCGGUGGACUGGGCCAGUACUGACGCUGAGGAGCGAAAGCGUGGGAGCGAACAGGAUUAGAUACCCUGGUAGUCCACGCCGUAAACGUUGGCACGUAGGUGUGGACCUUUCGAAC